Molecule: transfer RNA, 75 nt
Filed under: Candidatus Woesearchaeota archaeon
Lineage: Archaea; Nanobdellati; Candidatus Woesearchaeota
Description: tRNA-Trp
Rfam family: tRNA
About the family: Transfer RNA (tRNA) molecules are approximately 80 nucleotides in length. Their secondary structure includes four short double-helical elements and three loops (D, anti-codon, and T loops).
Source: RNAcentral
GGGGGCGUCGUAUAACCUGGCUCAUUAUUGCCGGCUCCAGACCGGCAGAUCGGAGUUCAAAUCUCUGCGCCCCCA